CACCGUUUUGUCUCCUGGCUUUCUCAUUUUGCAACGCUUCAACCUUGAAUGCUUGAUGCUUUUCUUUCUUCCACCGUUUGGCUCUUUUCCGUUUCUUAUUUUCCAAAGUAUAGCAAAGCUUAAAAAUCAAAUGGAUCCCCGUGCAAGAGAAAUUUCAUUGCCUCUUCCUUCCCCCUUAACCUAGCAGCGCCGCUGCUCACAUGAGAGAGAUAAUUGAACUCGAUGGUGUCUCUGCGGUUCCGGGCGGUGAACACGGAGGCUGUGGAGCUCUGAUCUUCAAUCCGUUUAACCACUAUAUCUCUCCAUCUGCGACUACAAGGUAAGUUCUUUAACCCUCUUCCACUCUCCAUUCACUGAUUCUUCAACUUAAAUCCUUACUGAUUUUUAUAGAUUUCUUUUCGAUAUGAAUCAGUUCCAGAGCAAAGUUGCUCAUCAGAAGGUAAAAGCUUUCACCUCCUUCGACUUUCAUUUCCUUUUUCAAGAUGAGGAUCAAUCUGUUGGGUUGUUGGUGCUACAAUGUGGUUUUGCACAGGAAUUUGCUUUAGCAAAGCUAAGAGGCUUGGCUUGGAGGGUGUAUCUGUUGUCAUCUCUUACUCAGCUUCUCGCAAACAGAAGGUGGAAGAUUGAAAGAGAAGGAAAGGGAAUAGAAUGUUUGUUGAGAGGUUUCCAUCGCAGUCUCAAUCUUCAACAGUGGUAUAAACUCCUUUUACUUUGCUUCUUAAUGACUUUUCCUGAUCAUUUUCUGUUUGUGUGCAAACUUCAGUGAGAGAAUAGCUAAUUAGAGUUGAUAUUAGUGUGUGAAUUCUCUUAAUUCGGUUAGGCUAUUAGAUUUAUAUGAGUACUCUUAUUGUUAUGAUUGAUUCAAUAAGUUUUUUACUAAUUCUGCAUACGAAAAUGAAUAUUACCACUAUCUCCCAUUUAUAUAUGCAUGUGAAGUGAUGCAGUGAAUGGCUGAUUCUGGGUGUUUCUUUAUGCAAACUGUGCUGGAAUUUUCUGAUUCAUGUUUGUUUUAAUGUUGGGUAUCUAUGGAGUGUUUGGAGAAAGAGAGAAAUGCCAUAUUAAGUGCUUGGUGGAAGAGGGAAAUGCCAAAACCUUUUUGGGCCCUUCAGUGAGAGCUGCCGAGAGGGCAUCCUGCAUUAUAUUUUGCUUUUCAAUAAUGCGUAUUCUUACAUUAAAAUGGCUUAAGAUUUAAACCCAAAAAAAGUUCAUAGCUUAAGGAGUUACAGCUUUUAAAUAAGAAAAAGUAUCUGCAGUUGUGCAUGUUUCACCUUGCAACAAUGAACUGGCGCAUAAGUUUAAGUAUAGUUGUUGUAAGUAAAUAUUGUCCACUUCAAUCACUCGGUUGUUGGUUACUUUCUACUUUCUGAUACAUCUAUAUCAUAUGCCAAAAGGAAAAAAAUGAUUGCUUUUGAUGAACAUAAUUGCACAUUUGUACAAGCUUAGUAAAUUACUAAUACUAUUAGCUGCCUCAUAUUUUUACCUUUUGUGUAUUGAAUUUGGGGAAACCAAGCUCCAUGCUUUGCAUUUUUACAUGGCACUGUAUUCUUCAAGUUUGAACUGCCUCUGUGAAAGCCUAUGAAUUGUAGUGAAUUUACUUAGAUGAUCCUUUGAAUGCUAUCUUUGCGCGCCCAGGUUCCUACUGAGGUCAGUUACUCAUUUUAAAUUUAUCUUUUGGGAAAUUUUGCAAUUUAGUUUUUGAAAUUGUGAAUUUGUGCACAUGCAUUGGUAGUUUGGUUUAUAGGUGGAGUUGAAAAUUUUCUACUUUAAAUGCAUGAAUGACAUGGCAGGUUGCAUGAUAGUGGACACAAGCUAAUACAAAUGUCCAAUUGCUAGAGAGACUGAAAUUUUAUCUGUUUCAGAAUCUUAAACUACCAAAUAAAUGUGAGGCAGCAACCAGAAAGUUGCAGGGAGAGUUCAGCACAUAUAAAGUGCAAUAUCUAUAGCCUUUGUAUAAUUUUGUUUGAAUUGAUAACAAGGAGAGUUCCUUAUGCAGUGGGAAAUGGCUUUCUUGCAGCUUGGGCAGCAGAAUAUAUUAGGUGGUUGAUAUAAGCUUGAAGGAAUUGGUUAUAAAGUUUCCAGUUUUGGGGCUUUGGUUUGUAUUGUCCUCUGUAAUGCGGCUGAAGGGGGAGAGGGCUAGAAGGAACAAUGAUGAUGGCGGGUUUCUUGGUAUGCAGUUGUGUGUUUGUGUUUUUAACAUUACUAAUCCAAUCUUCCAUUUUCAUGGAGAAAAAUUCAGAUUUCACAUUGAGAUAGUAAUCCUUUCAUCGAACUAUGGAGGCCUCGAAUACCAUAGGUUUGGGUAUGUCAACUUUACGUACAAGGUGAGGAAAUUCUUCCAUUAUAAGUAAGGACAUUCAGUUGGUUGUAGCACAGAUUCUGGAGGUUUAAUUUAUAUUCUUUACAAUUGUCCUCCAUACCAAUGCUAAAUCUUGGGAAAAUGAGGAAGGUUUGUGUUUGAGAAUGAGAAACACAAUGGGAUUGCCAAGUUGGAGAUUUUGGGAGUGAAAGUGUAAAAAAUGCUAUCUUUAUACAUUUUAUACACGGGGACAGACGGGAAUGGUACUGUGCGGUGCUGCUUCGUCCAUCUUUAAAAAAUGCUACCACAUACAUUUGUAGGGGAUAUACAUAGACAGGAAAUUGCACGUCCAUGUCCAUAAAUCAGGGUUUAACUGUCACUUGAUUGCACAUAGUGCUAUUUUUCAAUGUACACUAAUUUCGGACAAAUUGCACAUGCCUUAUAUAUGUUUACAAUGAUAUGUAUAAAUGAUAUAAUUUUUUGGGGUUCCAUGAUUACAGGGUUUUCUCAACUAUAUUCAGAGAUAUGCCAAGGCAUGGUGUUUGUCAGCCAAAUGAGUUUAUAUUUGGCAGUGUUUUCAGCAGACUCAGUGCAUGCUGCAGCCUUCUCGAACCAGAAUAUGAAGGCAUAUACAUGGAAUAUGUGCUCAAUUUCAUUUAGGGAGGAACGCUUUCGCCGAAUACUCUCUGUUACAUGUAUAUGAAAUUUGGAUUCCUACCUUCAGCAAAGAUGACAUUUCUUCUUGUGUCAUGUUGCAUAUUAUUUGAAUUGUCAUGUUUUCUUUUGUUACAUAAAUGAAAUCAAUGCUCUAUUGCUAA
Molecule: long non-coding RNA, 3114 nt
Organism: Lotus japonicus
Lineage: Eukaryota; Viridiplantae; Streptophyta; Magnoliopsida; Fabales; Fabaceae
Exons: 7
Source: RefSeq, a predicted model, not a curated record